CCUACGGUGGGCAGCAGUGGGGAAUAUUGCACAAUGGGGGAAACCCUGAUGCAGCGACGCCGCGUGAGUGAAGAAGUAUCUCGGUACGUAAAGCUCUAUCAGCAGGGAAGAAAAUGACGGUACCUGACUAAGAAGCCCCGGCUAACUACGGGCCAGCAGCCGCGGUAAUAAGUAGGGGGCAAGCGUUAUCCGGAUUUACUGGGUGUAAGGGGAGCGUAGACGGCAGCACAGGUUUGGAGUGAAAUCCCGGGGCUUAACCCCGGAACUGCUUUGGAAACUGUGCGGCUGGAGUGCAGGAGGGGGAAGCAGAAUUCCGAGGGGAGCGGUGAAAUGCGUAGAUAUUAGGAGGAACACCGGUGGCGAAGGCGGCUUACUGGACUGUAACUGACGUUGAGGCUCGAAAGCGUGGGGAGCAAACAGGAUUAGAUACCCGGGUAGGC
Molecule: ribosomal RNA, 440 nt
Filed under: uncultured bacterium
Lineage: Bacteria
Description: partial 16S ribosomal RNA
Rfam family: Bacterial small subunit ribosomal RNA
Source: RNAcentral